GCACAACGUGGAGCUGGAGAGACUUGGCAGAAUGUUGGUGUGAUCUGUGCAUCAAGAAAGAACUGGAACAAGGUGAAUAGAACUGGAUGACAGUCAAAGAGAUGAAUGCAGACGUGACAAGCCCAAGUAAAGCAUUAUGUUGAGAAGUUUGAGGAACACCAAAAGCAUUCCAGCAGCACCUCUGUUGCAGUCCCCAGUUGGGUGAGCUCAUCCGCACAACUGAAACUAUGAUCCAGGAUAGAGAGAACCUUAAGUCAACAGCAGUCUGGAGCGGUUUCCAUUUUCCGCAAGAGGUGAUGCAAGCCUGGUCCGGCCAUGAAGGUCGGAUCAAACACGUGGACUUCAAACAAAACCUGUUCGCUGGUUCUUGGCAGGAGAGUGAACUUCUUGACUGGACUCACCUGCGUUGGCCCCUAUUGCUCCUGCAUAAGAAAUAAUAUCCAAAUAUAGCGGGAUGAAAAAGCGACGUCUGGAUGCGGCCCUACACGCACGUUGGAAGUGCAAAUGACAGUGCACAAACACAACGAGAAGACCAAACUCCCUGGAAGACAAGAUGGUUGGGAAAGCAGAAAGGAGAGGAAGAGAAGGUAAGCUAACAGUACAUUGACAGACACA
Molecule: long non-coding RNA, 615 nt
Organism: Salvator merianae (Argentine black and white tegu)
Lineage: Eukaryota; Metazoa; Chordata; Lepidosauria; Squamata; Teiidae
Source: Ensembl